UACAGAGGUCUCAAGCGUUGUUCGGAUUCAUUGGGCGUAAAGGUGUGUAGGUGGCGCCGUAAGUCAGGUGUGAAAUCUCGGGGCUUAACUCCGAAACUGCAUUUGAUACUGCGGUGCUUGAGGACUGGAGAGGAGACUGGAAUUUAUGGUGUAGCAGUGAAAUGCGUAGAUAUCAUAAGGAAGACCAGUGGCGAAGGCGGGUCUCUGGACAGUUCCUGACACUGAGACACGAAGGCCAGGGGAGCAAAACGGGAUUAGACUACCCUG
This 267-nucleotide ribosomal RNA is filed under the name uncultured bacterium. RNAcentral's name for it is "partial 16S ribosomal RNA". It matches the Rfam family "Bacterial small subunit ribosomal RNA", at positions 524 to 790 of the family's 1533-position model. The record is from RNAcentral.